RNAcentral lists this ribosomal RNA (497 nucleotides) under uncultured bacterium. RNAcentral's name for it is "partial 16S ribosomal RNA". It matches the Rfam family "Bacterial small subunit ribosomal RNA", at positions 28 to 507 of the family's 1533-position model. The record is from RNAcentral.
GAUGAACGCUGGCGGCGUGCCUAAUACAUGCAAGUCGAGCGAACAGACGAGGAGCUUGCUCCUCUGACGUUAGCGGCGGACGGGUGAGUAACACGUGGAUAACCUACCUAUAAGACUGGGAUAACUUCGGGAAACCGGAGCUAAUACCGGAUAAUAUAUUGAACCGCAUGGUUCAAUAGUGAAAGACGGUUUUGCUGUCACAUAUAGAUGGAUCCGCGCCGCAUUAGCUAGUUGGUAAGGUAACGGCUUACCAAGGCGACGAUGCGUAGCCGACCUGAGAGGGUGAUCGGCCACACUGGAACUGAGACACGGUCCAGACUCCUACGGGAGGCAGCAGUAGGGAAUCUUCCGCAAUGGGCGAAAGCCUGACGGAGCAACGCCGCGUGAGUGAUGAAGGUCUUCGGAUCGUAAAACUCUGUUAUUAGGGAAGAACAAAUGUGUAAGUAACUAUGCACGUCUUGACGGUACCUAAUCAGAAAGCCACGGCUAACUACGUG